ACAUUCUACCUAGAGACGGGU
RNAcentral lists this non-coding RNA (21 nucleotides) under Rattus norvegicus (Norway rat). The record is from RNAcentral. Lineage: Eukaryota; Metazoa; Chordata; Mammalia; Rodentia; Muridae.